This 450-nucleotide ribosomal RNA is filed under the name uncultured bacterium. Its description in RNAcentral is "bacterial SSU rRNA". It matches the Rfam family "Bacterial small subunit ribosomal RNA", at positions 354 to 796 of the family's 1533-position model. The record is from RNAcentral.
GUGGGGAAUAUUGGACAAUGGGCGAAAGCCUGAUCCAGCCAUGCCGCGUGUGUGAAGAAGGUCUUCGGAUUGUAAAGCACUUUAAGUUGGGAGGAAGGGCAGUAAGUUAAUACCUUGCUGUUUUGACGUUACCGACAGAAUAAGCACCGGCUAACUUCGUGCCAGCAGCCGCGGUAAUACGAAGGGUGCAAGCGUUAAUCGGAAUUACUGGGCGUAAAGCGCGCGUAGGUGGUUUUGUAAGUUGGAGGUGAAAUCCCCGGGCUCAACCUGGGAACUGCCUCCAAAACUGCAUGACUAGAGUACGGUAGAGGGUAGUGGAAUUUCCUGUGUAGCGGUGAAAUGCGUAGAUAUAGGAAGGAACACCAGUGGCGAAGGCGACUACCUGGACUGAUACUGACACUGAGGUGCGAAAGCUUGGGGAGCAAACAGGAUUAGAAACCCUAGUAGUCC